This 371-nucleotide ribosomal RNA is filed under the name uncultured organism. Its description in RNAcentral is "partial 16S ribosomal RNA". It matches the Rfam family "Bacterial small subunit ribosomal RNA", at positions 527 to 896 of the family's 1533-position model. The record is from RNAcentral.
GUAGGUGGCAAGCGUUGUCCGGAAUUAUUGGGCGUAAAGCGCGCGCAGGCGGUUCUUUAAGUCUGAUGUGAAAGCCCACGGCUCAACCGUGGAGGGUCAUUGGAAACUGGAGAACUUGAGUACAGAAGAGGAAAGCGGAAUUCCACGUGGAGCGGUGAAAUGCGUAGAGAUGUGGAGGAACACCAGUGGCGAAGGCGGCUUUCUGGUCUGUAACUGACGCUGAGGCGCGAAAGCGUGGGGGAGCAAACAGGAUUAGAUACCCUGGUAGUCCACGCCGUAAACGAUGAGUGCUAAGUGUUAGGGGGUUUCCGCCCCUUAGUGCUGCAGCUAACGCAUUAAGCACUCCGCCUGGGAGUACGGCCGCAAGGCUG